AACCUUACCAGGUCUUGACAUCCCGAUGUACUAUUUCUAGAGAUAGAAGUUACUUGGUACAUCGGUGACAGGUGGUGCAUGGUUGUCGUCAGCUCGUGUCGUGAGAUGUUGGGUUAAGUCCCGCAACGAGCGCAACCCCUAUUGUUAGUUGCCAUCAUUCAGUUGGGCACUCUAGCGAGACUGCCGGUAAUAAACCGGAGGAAGGUGGGGAUGACGUCAAAUCAUCAUGCCCCUUAUGACCUGGGCUACACACGUGCUACAAUGGUUGGUACAACGAGUUGCGAGUCGGUGACGGCGAGCUAAUCUCUUAAAGCCAAUCUCAGUUCGGAUUGUAGGCUGCAACUCGCCUACAUGAAGUCGGAAUCGCUAGUAAUCGCGGAUCAGCACGCCGCGGUGAAUACGUUCCCGGGCCUU
This 414-nucleotide ribosomal RNA is filed under the name uncultured Streptococcus sp. RNAcentral describes it as "bacterial SSU rRNA". It matches the Rfam family "Bacterial small subunit ribosomal RNA", at positions 967 to 1382 of the family's 1533-position model. Lineage: Bacteria; Bacillati; Bacillota; Bacilli; Lactobacillales; Streptococcaceae. The record is from RNAcentral.